GUGCUAAGUUCGGCAGCACAUAUACUAAAAUUGGAACGAUACGGAGAAGGUUAGUAUGGCCCCUGCGCAAAGAUGAUACGCAAAUUCAUGAAGCAUUCCAUAUUUUU
This is a small nuclear RNA of Cavia aperea (Brazilian guinea pig), 107 nucleotides long. The record is from Ensembl. Lineage: Eukaryota; Metazoa; Chordata; Mammalia; Rodentia; Caviidae.